Molecule: small RNA, 59 nt
Filed under: Sinorhizobium meliloti 2011
Lineage: Bacteria; Pseudomonadati; Pseudomonadota; Alphaproteobacteria; Hyphomicrobiales; Rhizobiaceae
Description: putative ncRNA
Source: RNAcentral
AUGGAGAAAGGUUCGGAUCGCUCAUCCGCCGCCAGUGCGCGAUAGGCCUGUUCCACGGC